GACGAACGCUGGCGGCGUGCUUAACACAUGCAAGUCGAACGGAAAGGCCCUGCUUUUGUGGGGUGCUCGAGUGGCGAACGGGUGAGUAACCCGUGAGUAACCUGCCCUUGACUUUGGGAUAACUUCAGGAAACUGGGGCUAAUACCGGAUAGGAGCUCCUGCUGCAUGGUGGGGGUUGGAAAGUUUCGGCGGUUGGGGAUGGACUCGCGGCUUAUCAGCUUGUUGGUGGGGUAGUGGCUUACCAAGGCUUUGACGGGUAGCCGGCCUGAGAGGGUGACCGGCCACAUUGGGGCUGAGAUACGGCCCAGACUCCUACGGGAGGCAGCAGUGGGGAAUAUUGCACAAUGGGCGGAAGCCUGAUGCAGCAACGCCGCGUGCGGGAUGACGGCCUUCGGGUUGUAAACCGCUUUCGCCUGUGACGAAGCGUGAGUGACGGUAAUGGGUAAAGAAGCACCGGCUAACUACGUG
RNAcentral lists this ribosomal RNA (468 nucleotides) under uncultured bacterium. Its description in RNAcentral is "partial 16S ribosomal RNA". It matches the Rfam family "Bacterial small subunit ribosomal RNA", at positions 28 to 507 of the family's 1533-position model. The record is from RNAcentral.